RNAcentral lists this ribosomal RNA (392 nucleotides) under uncultured Micrococcus sp. RNAcentral's name for it is "bacterial SSU rRNA". It matches the Rfam family "Bacterial small subunit ribosomal RNA", at positions 1002 to 1393 of the family's 1533-position model. The record is from RNAcentral. Lineage: Bacteria; Bacillati; Actinomycetota; Actinomycetes; Micrococcales; Micrococcaceae.
AGAGAUACGGUUUCCCCUUUGGGGCGGGUUCACAGGUGGUGCAUGGUUGUCGUCAGCUCGUGUCGUGAGAUGUUGGGUUAAGUCCCGCAACGAGCGCAACCCUCGUUCCAUGUUGCCAGCACGUAAUGGUGGGGACUCAUGGGAGACUGCCGGGGUCAACUCGGAGGAAGGUGAGGACGACGUCAAAUCAUCAUGCCCCUUAUGUCUUGGGCUUCACGCAUGCUACAAUGGCCGGUACAAUGGGUUGCGACACUGUGAGGUGGAGCUAAUCCCAAAAAGCCGGUCUCAGUUCGGAUUGGGGUCUGCAACUCGACCCCAUGAAGUCGGAGUCGCUAGUAAUCGCAGAUCAGCAACGCUGCGGUGAAUACGUUCCCGGGUCUUGUACACACCGA